CAUAAUAAAACAAUAAUCGUAUAAUUUUGGUAGCUUUUCAUAUUCUUAAACUUUUGGCUCUUUAUGAUUUAUUUCUGAUUAACUUUGUGAUAAUUUUGAUUGUUUUUGCGUUAUUGGUACAAUGAGUGGCCCUCCUUAGCCGUGCGGUAAGACGCGCGGCUAUAAAGCAAGACCAUGCUGAGGGUGGCUGGGUUCGAUUCCCGGUGCUGGUCUAGGUAAUUUUCGGAUUGGAAAUUGUCUCGACUUCCCUGGGCAUAAAAGUAUCAUCGUGUUAGCCUCAUGAUAUACGAAUGCAAAAAUGGUAACCUGGCUUAGAAACCUCGCAGUUUAAUAACUGUGGAAGUGCUUAAAGAACACUAAGCUGCGAGGCGGCUCUGUCCCAGUGUGGGGAUGUAAUGCCAAUAAGAAGAAGAAGAAGAAGAACAAUGAGUGGCCUGAUCAGCUUUCGCCGUAGGUUGCACUUCUGGUCGCACGAAGCGAAUGGAGAACGAAAGCCUUGGUCCUGGACGUUGCGCGUGAUUUGUGUAGGAAAAGAGCAUAUUUUUUUCAGCUCUCGAAUUAAGGAAAUGAUGGUCCCAAUCGAGGUUCCAAUCAUACCAGCAAAUACCAAAAGGCUGAGCACCUACCGGCGUAAAUUGAAACGCAACACAACAAUCUUGAUAUAAUUCGACCGCCUCGACUAAACAAUAUGUGAGAGAAAACUUAUGGCGAAUUGAGUCACAUAUAGGGAAUUAUUCCCAUAUAAUUUCCAAGAUGGCAGGACUUCGACACAUCUCAAUUACAGACAAGAAUCAAAAUGUGGCGGAGCAUCAUCACGGGCUGUGGAAAUACUUUUCUAUUAUGAGGAUGGAAGUAAACCACAGAAGAAGGAAUGAUGAAAUCCACAGCAGCAAAGCCGAUAUGAAAAUCAUCAGCUUCAUCCUAAGCUAACAGCAUAUUUAUGGAAUGUUCAAGAUAAAUUGAAAGAAACCUGUGA
Long non-coding RNA from Armigeres subalbatus, 976 nucleotides. RefSeq lists it as uncharacterized. Lineage: Eukaryota; Metazoa; Arthropoda; Insecta; Diptera; Culicidae. The transcript has 3 exons. The record is from RefSeq and is a predicted model, not a curated record.